ACGGAGAAUUGCUAGCUUGCUAAUAAUUCUCUAGUGGCGCACGGGUGAGUAACACGUGAGUACCUGCCCCCAAGAGUGGGAUAGCCCCGGGAAACUGGGAUUAAUACCGCAUAAAGCAAUAAAGCAGCAAUGCGCUUGGGGAUGGGCUCGCGUCCUAUUAGUUAGUUGGUGAGGUAACGGCUCACCAAGGCGAUGACGGGUAGCCGGUCUGAGAGGAUGUCCGGCCACACUGGAACUGAGACACGGUCCAGACACCUACGGGUGGCAGCAGUCGAGAAUCAUUCACAAUGGGGGAAACCCUGAUGGUGCGACGCCGCGUGGGGGAUAAGGUCUUCGGAUUGUAAACCCCUGUCAUGUGGGACAUUAAAAGAUAGUACCACAAGAGGAAGAGACGGCUAACUCUGUGCCAGCAGCCGCGGUAAUACAGAGGUCUCAAGCGUUGUUCGGAAUCACUGGGCGUAAAGCGUGCGUAGGCGGUUUCGUAAGUCGUGUGUGAAAGGCGGGGGCUCAACCCCCGGACUGCACAUGAUACUGCGAGACUAGAGUAAUGGAGGGGGAACCGGAAUUCUCGGUGUAGCAGUGAAAUGCGUAGAUAUCGAGAGGAACACUCGUGGCGAAGGCGGGUUCCUGGACAUUAACUGACGCUGAGGCACGAAGGCCAGGGGAGCGAAAG
RNAcentral lists this ribosomal RNA (673 nucleotides) under uncultured bacterium. RNAcentral's name for it is "bacterial SSU rRNA". It matches the Rfam family "Bacterial small subunit ribosomal RNA", at positions 66 to 774 of the family's 1533-position model. The record is from RNAcentral.